This 484-nucleotide ribosomal RNA is filed under the name uncultured bacterium. RNAcentral's name for it is "partial 16S ribosomal RNA". It matches the Rfam family "Bacterial small subunit ribosomal RNA", at positions 30 to 507 of the family's 1533-position model. The record is from RNAcentral.
AUUGAACGCUGGCGGCAGGCCUAACACAUGCAAGUCGAGCGGAUGAAGGGAGCUUGCUCCUGGCUUCAGCGGCGGACGGGUGAGUAAUGCCUAGGAAUCUGCCUGGUAGUGGGGGCUAACGUCCGGACACGGGCGCUAAUACCGCAUACGUCCUGAGGGUGAAAGUGGGGGAUCUUCGGACCUCACGCUAUCAGAUGAGCCUAGGUCGGAUUAGCUAGUUGGUGGGGUAAAGGCCUACCAAGGCGACGAUCCGUAACUGGUCUGAGAGGCUGAUCAGUCACACUGGAACUGAGACGCGGUCCAGACUCCUACGGGAGGCAGCAGUGGGGAAUAUUGGACAAUGGGCGAAAGCCUGAUCCAGCCAUGCCGCGUGUGUGAAGAAGGUCUUCGGAUUGUAAAGCUCUGUAAGUUGGGAGGAAGGGCAGUAAGUUAAUACCUUGCUGUUUUGACGUUACCAACAGAAUAAGCACCGGCUAACUUCGUG